This 231-nucleotide ribosomal RNA is filed under the name uncultured bacterium. Its description in RNAcentral is "partial 16S ribosomal RNA". It matches the Rfam family "Bacterial small subunit ribosomal RNA", at positions 15 to 239 of the family's 1533-position model. The record is from RNAcentral.
GAUCAUGGCUCAGAUUGAACGCUGGCGGCAGGCUUAACACAUGCAAGUCGAACGGUAACAGGAGAGAGCUUGCUUUCUUGCUGACGAGUGGCGGACUGGUGAGUAAUGCGUUGGGAAUCUGGUCUUAGUGGAGGGGGAUAACGACGGGAAACUGUCGCUAAUACCGCGUAGAGUCGAGAGACGAAAGUGCGGGACCGCAAGGCCGCAUGCCAUAGGAUGAGCCCAAGUGGG